RNAcentral lists this ribosomal RNA (460 nucleotides) under uncultured bacterium. Its description in RNAcentral is "partial 16S ribosomal RNA". It matches the Rfam family "Bacterial small subunit ribosomal RNA", at positions 338 to 795 of the family's 1533-position model. The record is from RNAcentral.
CCUACGGGAGGCAGCAGUGAGGAAUAUUGGUCAAUGGACGAGAGUCUGAACCAGCCAAGUAGCGUGAAGGAUGACUGCCCUAUGGGUGGUAAACUUCGUUUAUAUGGGAAUAAAAUGUUCCACGUGUGGGAUUUUGUAUGUACCAUAUGAAUAAGGAUCGGCUAACUCCGUGCCAGCAGCCGCGGUAAUACGUAGGGGGCGAGCGUUCUCCGGAUUCACUGGGUUUAAAGGGAGCGUAGAUGGGUUGGUAAGUCAGUUGUGAAAGUUUGCGGCUCAACCGUAAAAUUGCAAUUGAUACUGGCAGUCUUGAGUACAGUUGAGGUAAGCGGAAUUCGUGGUGUAGCGGUGAAAUGCUUAGAUAUCACGAAGAACCCCGAUUGCGAAGGCAGCUUACUAAACUGUGACUGACAUUGAUGCUCGAAAGUGUGGGUAUCAAACAGGAUUAGAUACCCUAGUAGUC